UGUGGUCAAGUUUGCUUGAAAUGCUUUUGGAUUUAAACACCUACCUGGGGAGGUCUCUGUAGGUCUGGAGGGAGGAGAACGUACUAAGCAGACUCUGCUUCUUCACAUCGAUGGAAAACUACGAAAGAGAGAUGGCUUACUCAAAAGAGAGGGGUGAUGCCGAAGGGGACACAGUGCGUGAAGUGGUGAUCAAUGACGACCGAUACCAGAGGGAGAGCCCCGAGUGGUUGGAGAUUGAGCUCGGCCACCAUAUUUUUUCAGGCCACUUAUUUGGGUGAUCGACGGGAUGAUUUGGCGGACGAUUCGUAAAAUCGUGGUUGUGCUGCUAAGAAGACGCAGCUGGAUUGGAGCAGGAAAUCCUACAGGUCAGGAGAAUCGAGAAGGUGAUCAGGCUGCUUAGAGUAGUGGUAUUUGAGUUACAGCAUUAUUGUGAGUUUCGUUAUGUUCAUUUCGAACUUACCAAUUUGGAAUUUUUGAGUGUGCUGUAAUAAGAAAUUGAGGAGUUGGGUAAUGUAAUAUUGAGUGGUGUGAGGCGUGUUACUCUGAAAGAAAAAAUUUAGAUUGGUAUUUGUUUUUUUAAUUAUUUCAUGUUUCGGAUUUGAAUUUAUUAUUUAAAAUUCGGGGCGUGACAGUUUGGUAUCAGAGCGUAAGGUGCAUAUUCGGUGAUGUGUCAAUACUUUCGGAGUGAUGGCCCGUCUGCAGCGGAUCCCCAUCGUGUGCUCUUCGGUAUUGGCUAAGUCA
Molecule: long non-coding RNA, 741 nt
Organism: Rosa chinensis
Lineage: Eukaryota; Viridiplantae; Streptophyta; Magnoliopsida; Rosales; Rosaceae
Exons: 3
Source: RefSeq, a predicted model, not a curated record